GGGGAAUUUUGGACAAUGGGCGAAAGCCUGAUCCAGCAAUGCCGCGUGAGUGAAGAAGGCCUUCGGGUUGUAAAGCUCUUUUGUCAGGGAAGAAACGGUAGAGGCUAAUAUCCUUUGCUAAUGACGGUACCUGAAGAAUAAGCACCGGCUAACUACGUGCCAGCAGCCGCGGUAAUACGUAGGGUGCAAGCGUUAAUCGGAAUUACUGGGCGUAAAGCGUGCGCAGGCGGUUGUGCAAGACAGAUGUGAAAUCCCCGGGCUCAACCUGGGAAUUGCAUUUGUGACUGCACGGCUAGAGUGUGUCAGAGGGGGGUAGAAUUCCACGUGUAGCAGUGAAAUGCGUAGAGAUGUGGAGGAAUACCGAUGGCGAAGGCAGCCCCCUGGGAUAACACUGACGCUCAUGCACGAAAGCGUGGGGAGCAAAC
This 425-nucleotide ribosomal RNA is filed under the name uncultured bacterium. Its description in RNAcentral is "bacterial SSU rRNA". It matches the Rfam family "Bacterial small subunit ribosomal RNA", at positions 356 to 773 of the family's 1533-position model. The record is from RNAcentral.